RNAcentral lists this ribosomal RNA (248 nucleotides) under uncultured bacterium. Its description in RNAcentral is "partial 16S ribosomal RNA". It matches the Rfam family "Bacterial small subunit ribosomal RNA", at positions 15 to 253 of the family's 1533-position model. The record is from RNAcentral.
GAUCAUGGCUCAGGAUGAACGCUAGCUACAGGCUUAACACAUGCAAGUCGAGGGGAAACGACAUCGAAAGCUUGCUUUUGAUGGGCGUCGACCGGCGCACGGGUGAGUAACGCGUAUGCAACCUGCCCGAUACCGGGGUAUAGCCCAUGGAAACGUGGAUUAACACCCCAUAGUACUUUUAUCCUGCCUGGGAUGGGAGUUAAAUGUUCAAGGUAUCGGAUGGGCAUGCGUCCUAUUAGUUAGUUGGG